This is a long non-coding RNA of Limulus polyphemus (Atlantic horseshoe crab), 488 nucleotides long. RefSeq lists it as uncharacterized. The record is from RefSeq and is a predicted model, not a curated record. The transcript has 3 exons. NCBI's taxonomy places the organism in Eukaryota, Metazoa, Arthropoda, Merostomata, Xiphosura, Limulidae.
UUAUGCUAAACGGUUUUGUCAGGGAUCACAAGAUCCAAGAAUAACGUCUCGAAUUUAAAACUGCCGAUGAGAGAAAGUGAAACCAGUUAGCUGCGCCCGCCGCCUACAUUGCUAUUGUGAAACUAAUAGUGUGCUUAACUGUAAGUUUUAUAACGCGUACCUGAAAGUACGACGUAUUUUGUUCAGCAGUAUAGAAAGUGCUCGAACCUGGAACCUUUCAUUUCGCACCCCAGAACAUUACCCACUAGGGUUCAGUUAUGUGUGAACUAUAGUUGUGAUAUACCACAAGAUCUCACAAUGCCUAGAAAACUGGAAGAAACCUCUUCAGGAAAAUUUGGAACCUCUGCAUCAGUCAGAAUUCACUCAAAAAAUUUCCUGUUACAAACAAAUGGCCUGAAAAGUUAGGAUGAUAAUGAGGUCCUCUCACUUCUCGAGGAUUUGUAGACUCUGCAGGUGUUGUACUUGAGGAAGGAUCCCCUGGUCCAGAA